UACGGGGGGGGCAAGCGUUGCUCGGAAUUACUGGGCGUAAAGGGCUCGUAGGCGGCCAACUAAGUCAGACGUGAAAUCCCUCGGCUUAACCGGGGAACUGCGUCUGAUACUGGAUGGCUUGAAUCCGGGAGAGGGAUGCGGAAUUCCAGGUGUAGCGGUGAAAUGCGUAGAUAUCCUAAGGAACACCGGUGGCGAAGGCGGCAUCCUGGACCGGCAUUGACGCUGAAUAGCGAAAGCCAGGGGAGCAAACGGG
RNAcentral lists this ribosomal RNA (253 nucleotides) under uncultured bacterium. Its description in RNAcentral is "partial 16S ribosomal RNA". It matches the Rfam family "Bacterial small subunit ribosomal RNA", at positions 524 to 776 of the family's 1533-position model. The record is from RNAcentral.